Molecule: ribosomal RNA, 465 nt
Filed under: uncultured bacterium
Lineage: Bacteria
Description: partial 16S ribosomal RNA
Rfam family: Bacterial small subunit ribosomal RNA
Source: RNAcentral
CCUACGGGAGGCAGCAGUAGGGAAUUUUUCACAAUGGGCGAAAGCCUGAUGGAGCAAUGCCGCGUGAAUGAUGAAGGUCUUAUAGAUUGUAAAAUUCUUUUAUUUGGGAAGAAAAACUAAAGUAGGAAAUGACUUUAGUCUGACUGUACCAUUUGAAUAAGUAUCGGCUAACUAUGUGCCAGCAGCCGCGGUAAUACAUAGGAUGCAAGCGUUAUCCGGAUUUACUGGGCGUAAAACGAGCGCAGGCGGGUUAACAAGUUUGGUAUGAAAGGCUUUUGCUUAACGAAAGUUUGUAUCAAAAACUGUUAAUCUAGAGUGUAGUAGAGAGUUCUGGAAUUCCAUGUGGAGCGGUGAAAUCCGUAGAUAUCUGGAGGAACAUCAGUGGCGAAGGCGACUAUCUGGCACAUAACUGACGCUGAGGAGCGAAAGCGUGGGUAGCAAACAGGAUUAGAUACCCGUGUAGUC